RNAcentral lists this ribosomal RNA (254 nucleotides) under uncultured bacterium. RNAcentral describes it as "partial 16S ribosomal RNA". It matches the Rfam family "Bacterial small subunit ribosomal RNA", at positions 524 to 777 of the family's 1533-position model. The record is from RNAcentral.
UACGUAGGGUGCGAGCGUUAAUCGGAAUUACUGGGCGUAAAGCGUGCGCAGGCGGUUCGUCGUGUCCGAUGUGAAAGCCCCGGGCUCAACCUGGGAAUGGCAUUGGAAACUGGCUGGCUAGAGUGUGGCAGAGGGGGGUGGAAUUCCGCGUGUAGCAGUGAAAUGCGUAGAGAUGCGGAGGAACACCGAUGGCGAAGGCAGCCCCCUGGGCUAGCACUGACGCUCAGGCACGAAAGCGUGGGGAGCAAACAGGG